GCUUCCAUAGUGUAGCAGUUAGCAUGUCUGCUUUACAAGCAGGAGGUCCUGGGUUCAUGCCCCAGUGGAGCUA
RNAcentral lists this transfer RNA (73 nucleotides) under Pteropus alecto (black flying fox). It matches the Rfam family "tRNA". From Rfam's summary of the family: Transfer RNA (tRNA) molecules are approximately 80 nucleotides in length. Their secondary structure includes four short double-helical elements and three loops (D, anti-codon, and T loops). The record is from Rfam by way of RNAcentral. Lineage: Eukaryota; Metazoa; Chordata; Mammalia; Chiroptera; Pteropodidae. RNAcentral also lists the same sequence under 1 other name.